Long non-coding RNA from Lolium rigidum, 638 nucleotides. RefSeq lists it as uncharacterized. Lineage: Eukaryota; Viridiplantae; Streptophyta; Magnoliopsida; Poales; Poaceae. The transcript is spliced from 4 exons. The record is from RefSeq and is a predicted model, not a curated record.
GGGAGCCAUUCUCUCCACUUUCCCUCUUUCCCCUCCUCUCUUCCCCAUUAUCGACACGAACCAGAUCCAUCGGAGGCGCCCUCCGAUCCACCCGCCCCGGCCAGGUCGCACGGCGCUGCCCUCCCCAUCUGCAGUUUGGGGCUUCCGGCUUCACCCGUGACCUUCUCCUCCGCGCCCCAGCCCGCUCAAACAUCGCCACCCUCCUCACCGGUGGAAUGGGAGCCGCCGGCCUCACCCCCACGACGUCCUCUGCGCCCUUCCCUGGUUUCCUCCCGCGGGUUUUUCUGCAUCCACGAGAACGCCUAUGCCUACAAUCGCGAGAACGCCGCCGGCCCUCCUCAAGUAUAUCAAUAUAUGUGGAUGGAGGUUCAUGUGACGAAUUAGUGGCUUCCUCACGUCAGUUUCAAUGCCUGAUUUUUUCCAUACGACGUCCCGACUGUCUUCGACAACUUCAGCGCCAACGUUGUUGUCCACGGGAACACCAUCAACCUGGCCUUGUGGGAUACAACAGGACAAGAGGACUACAACAAGCUAUGCCCAAGUUUAUGUUUCAUGUAGGUACUCGAGCAGAUUGUAUGAAUUCCGUUACAGGAUUACGUCAGUUAUAGGAAUUAUGCAGAGGUAGAGUAAGAAUCCAA